CGUAGGGUGCGAGCGUUGUCCGGAAUUAUUGGGCGUAAAGAGCUCGUAGGCGGCUUGUCGCGUCGACUGUGAAAACCCGCAGCUCAACUGCGGGCCUGCAGUCGAUACGGGCAGGCUAGAGUUCGGUAGGGGAGACUGGAAUUCCUGGUGUAGCGGUGAAAUGCGCAGAUAUCAGGAGGAACACCGAUGGCGAAGGCAGGUCUCUGGGCCGAUACUGACGCUGAGGAGCGAAAGCGUGGGGAGCGAACAGGAUUAGAUACCCUGGUAGUCCACGCUGUAAACGUUGGGCGCUAGGUGUGGGGGGCCUCUCCGGUUCCCUGUGCCGCAGCUAACGCAUUAAGCGCCCCGCCUGGGGAGUACGGCCGCGAGGCUA
This 373-nucleotide ribosomal RNA is filed under the name uncultured organism. RNAcentral describes it as "bacterial SSU rRNA". It matches the Rfam family "Bacterial small subunit ribosomal RNA", at positions 526 to 896 of the family's 1533-position model. The record is from RNAcentral.